Molecule: ribosomal RNA, 254 nt
Filed under: uncultured bacterium
Lineage: Bacteria
Description: partial 16S ribosomal RNA
Rfam family: Bacterial small subunit ribosomal RNA
Source: RNAcentral
UACGGGGGGGGCAAGCGUUGUUCGGAAUUACUGGGCGUAAAGGGCUCGUAGGUGGCCAACUAAGUCAGACGUGAAAUCCCUCAGCUUAACUGGGGAACUGCGUCUGAUACUGGAUGGCUUGAGUUUGGGAGAGGGAUGCGGAAUUCCAGGUGUAGCGGUGAAAUGCGUAGAGAUCCGGCGGAACACCGGUGGUGAAGACGGUCUCCUGGGCCGAGAGCCGACGCUGAGGCGCGAGAGCGUGGGGAGCGAACCGG